This 257-nucleotide ribosomal RNA is filed under the name uncultured bacterium. RNAcentral's name for it is "partial 16S ribosomal RNA". It matches the Rfam family "Bacterial small subunit ribosomal RNA", at positions 524 to 776 of the family's 1533-position model. The record is from RNAcentral.
UACGUAGGGUGCAAGCGUUAUCCGGAAUUAUUGGGCGUAAAGAGCUCGUAGGCGGUUUGUCGCGUCUGCUGUGAAAACUGGGGGCUCAACCCCCAGCCCUGCAGUGGGUACGGGGCAGACUAGAGUGCGGUAGGGGGAGAUUGGAAUUCCUGGUGUAGCGGUGGAAUGCGCAGAUAUCAGGAGGAACACCGAUGGCGAAGGCAGAUCUCUGGGCCGUAACUGACGCUGAGGAGCGAAAGCAUGGGGGAGCGAACAGG